Long non-coding RNA from Bos taurus (domestic cattle), 1484 nucleotides. Lineage: Eukaryota; Metazoa; Chordata; Mammalia; Artiodactyla; Bovidae. The record is from Ensembl.
CUGCAAAAGGUGGUUUGCAAGAAUCAACACCCUGUGAUUCACAGCGCAGUAGAGGAGGAACAGGGGCUGGAUGAGGGAAAAGAGCAACUCACCAGCACACAGAGGGUUCCUGUGAACACCUCGGUUGAGAUUACAUCCUGAACUACCACACAGUAUACAAUCAGUGAAUGUAUAAUCGUCUCUGCUGCUGCUGCUGCUAAGUCGCUUCAGUCGUGUCAGACUCUGUGCAACCCCACAGACGGCAGCCCACCAGGCUCCCCCAUCCCUGGGAUUCUCCAGAUAUGCGCCCAGGAGUGGGAUUGCUGGAUCAUAUGUAGUCAUGUAUGGAUGUGAGAGUUGGACUGUGAAGAAAGCUGAGCACCAAAGAAUUGAUGCUUUUGAACUGUGGUGUUGGAGAAGACUCUUGAGAGUCCCUUGGACUGCAAGGAGGUCCAACCAGUCAAUGGUAAAGGAAAUCAGCCCUGAAUGUUCAUUGGAAGUACUGAUGUUGAAGCUGAAACUCCAGUACUUUGGCCAUCUGAUGUGAAGAGCUGACUCAUUGGGAAACACCCUGAUGCUGGGAAAGAUUGAAGGUAGGUUGAGAAGGGGACGACAGAGGAUGAGAUGGUUGGAUGGCAUCACUGACUCAAUGGACAUGAGUUUGAGUAAACUCCAGGAGUUGGUGAUGGACAAGGAGGCCUGGUGUGCUGCAGUCCAUGGGGUUGCAAAUAGUUGGACAUGACUGAGCGACUGAACUGAACUACCUGUCCAGAAAUUAAUUAAUAGAAGCAUGCAUUGGAAUUGUCUAUUUACCUACCUGUUUCUGCAAGGCACCAGAAGCUCAUGAAAACAGGUGCUCUGUGUCAUUGACAUGGCCCAUUUUAAGGCACGCUGCCUUAAAAAUAUUCCUAUCAAUGUCAUGAGCUAACCUCUGAACCAAAGGUACAUCAUCUUCAACAACAACAACAAAAUCUGCAACAUUGCAUCCCUCACCUCCAAAAGCAGUAAAGCCAAAUUAUCAAACUUUCACUGUCAAUGUUAUUUACUAAAUUGACUACAGAUUGAAGGCAUUAGGAAACUUCAUUGGAUUAGGAAUACAAGGGAAAAAGUUUUAGAUUGAUUAAAAAAAAACCCUUCAGAUUAUAAAGUAUGACUAGGUUUAUUAAAAAGAAUAAAAUAAUCUAUUUGCAACAACAUUAAUUCAGUUCAGUUCAGUCGCUCAGUCGUGUUUGCAAUGUGGAUGGACCUAAAGAUUGUCACACUGCGUCAAGUGAGUCAAAAGGAGGAGAAAUAUUACAUGACAUCCCUUACCUACAGAAUCUAAAAAAUUAUACAAAUGAACUUAUUUACAAAACAGAAACAGACUCACAGACUUAGAGAAUGAAUUUAUGGUUGCCAGCAGGGGAAGGAUGUGGGGAAGGGAUAGUUAUGGAAUUUGGGAUGGAUAAGGUACUCAUGGGGUCACAAAGAGUCGGACAUGACUGAGCGACUGAUCUGAUCUGAAG